UGGGACUGAAGCUUCGGUUGAUUUCCCCGAGGGACAGCGGCGAAAGGGAGAGUAACGCGUAGUUACCUACCCCAGGGUCCGGGAUAGCCGCGGGAAACUGCGGGUAAUACCGGAUGAUAUCUGCCUCCUUUCGAGGCGGCGGAUCAAAGGUGAGAUUCCGCCCUAGGAGUGGACUGCGUCCUACUAACUUGUUGGUAGGGUAACGGCCUACCAAGGCAUUGAUGGGUAGCGGGCGUGAGAGCGUGGCCCGCCUCACUGGGACUGAGACACUGCCCAGACACCUACGGGUGGCUGCAGUCGAGAAUCUUCGGCAAUGGACGAAAGUCUGACCGAGCGACGCCGCGUGCGGGAUGAAGGCCUUCGGGUUGUAAACCGCUGUCAGUUGGGAGGAGAUCUGGUGGGGUUCUCCCCUCCAGUUGACCUAUCUUCAGAGGAAGUCCGGGCUAAGUUCGUGCCAGCAGCCGCGGUAAGACGAACCGGACAAACGUUAUUCGGAAUCAUUGGGCUUAAAGGGUGCGUAGGCGGUGCGGUAAGUUGGGUGUGAAAUCCCUCGGCUCAACCGAGGAACUGCGCCCAAAACUACCGUGCUAGAGGGAGACAGAGGUGAGUGGAACUGAUGGUGGAGCGGUGAAAUGCGUUGAUAUUAUCAGGAACACCAGUGGCGAAAGCGGCUCACUGGGUCUCUUCUGACGCUGAGGCACGAAAGCUAGGGUAGCGAACGGGAUUAGAUACCCCGGUAGUCCUAGCUGUAAACGAU
RNAcentral lists this ribosomal RNA (757 nucleotides) under uncultured bacterium. RNAcentral describes it as "bacterial SSU rRNA". It matches the Rfam family "Bacterial small subunit ribosomal RNA", at positions 65 to 810 of the family's 1533-position model. The record is from RNAcentral.